Molecule: unclassified non-coding RNA, 187 nt
Filed under: rhizosphere metagenome
Description: partial ribosomal RNA internal transcribed spacer region
Source: RNAcentral
GAUUAAAUCGAGAGUGUCUUCAUUGACCUCUCACCCUUCGCAUCCACAUACACCUGUGCACCGUUUGGCUCUUUUAAGAGACGCAAGUCUGCAAAGAGAGUCAUCAAUUUUAUACAUACCCCAGUCUUAUGAAUGUAACAGUAUUAAUAAACAUAAUAAAACUUUUAACAACGGAUCUCUUGGUUCU